This 806-nucleotide long non-coding RNA is filed under the name Homo sapiens (human). Its description in RNAcentral is "long intergenic non-protein coding RNA 1350". Lineage: Eukaryota; Metazoa; Chordata; Mammalia; Primates; Hominidae. The record is from RNAcentral.
ACUUUCAGGCAAGGCCAAGGCUUCUUGAAAGGCUGGUCAUGCCCCAGUGAUCAAUGAAGAACUCAGGGAUAUCCCAAAACUCAGGACUAUAAGGCACAAUGGGGGAGCAGGUACCAGGUGGCCAGCAUCCUAAAUGACUCUCAGCAGCUGCAGAGAACAUUCUCAUAAAAGAGAAUCAGUCAUCCUGAGGUAUAGAAUGCUGGGGCCCUUCCAUUACUCCAUGCACUGGGGAAGAACUAGAAUUGUGAGAAGAGCUUUCACGCUCCCAUAACCAUUCCUUGGCCCACCUCCAAGAAAAGGCAGGCUGGCCUCUGUUUAGGUGUUGUCUGUGCUUGCAUUCCCAACGUUGACAUGAGGAAUUAUCAAUGGGUUCCGGACAUAAUCAGCCACACGGCAGAGUGAAUUCCAGGAGUGUAAAUAACAAGAGCUGCCUAUAAAUCUACCUCAGAAGACAAAGGGAAAAGCAAAACUCUGCCCAGGAAGACCUUACUUUACAAACCAGCUCAACCAUAUUUACCAGCCUUCCUGUGGUCAUUUGUCUGAGCUCCAGCUAGUGAAGUAUGAGUAGAACGGACAUGCACCACUUCCAGACCUGGCACCGGCAAACCCCCCAUGGCAACCCUCCAACCCUUUCCUCAACAACUGGACCACGCUGGAAAGGACUGAGGAUCUAGAGGAGGACAGGGCUGUAAUAUGGAAGGAGUUUGGUUUCUGAAGGACCAUGUAGCAGGCCACCUGCAGGGCGGGAACAUCUUUAAUAGGUUUGGAAUAGCAAGAAAUAAACUGGUCUUGUAUUAAACAACUAA